RNAcentral lists this ribosomal RNA (244 nucleotides) under Glomus sp. Dg. RNAcentral describes it as "partial large subunit ribosomal RNA". It matches the Rfam family "Eukaryotic large subunit ribosomal RNA", at positions 325 to 578 of the family's 3401-position model. Lineage: Eukaryota; Fungi; Glomeromycota; Glomeromycetes; Glomerales; Glomeraceae. The record is from RNAcentral.
GGCGAGAGACCGAUAGCGAACAAGUACCGUGAGGGAAAGAUGAAAAGAACUUUGAAAAGAGAGUUAAACAGUACGUGAAAUUGUUGAAAGGGAAACGAUUGAAGUCAGUCAUACCAACGGGAAAUCAACCUUUUGAGUUNGUCUUGUGGGUUUCGAGGAGUUUAAAAGCCUUCUGAUUUGCUAGGAUUGGGCUCUUUUGGUGUACUUUCUCGUACGGUUAGUCAACAUCGGUUUUGAAUGUCAU